Molecule: ribosomal RNA, 389 nt
Filed under: uncultured bacterium
Lineage: Bacteria
Description: partial 16S ribosomal RNA
Rfam family: Bacterial small subunit ribosomal RNA
Source: RNAcentral
AUACGUAGGGGACAAGCGUUGUCCGGAAUCACUGGGCGUAAAGGGCGCGUAGGCGGUUUUAUAAGUCAGAUGUGAAAGGUAACGGCUCAACCGGUGACGUGCAUUUGAAACUGUAAGACUUGAGUACUGGAGAGGCAAGUGGAAUUCCUAGUGUAGCGGUGAAAUGCGUAGAUAUUAGGAGGAACACCGGAGGCGAAGGCGGCUCGCUGGACAGAUACAGACGCUGCGGUGGCAACGCGUGGGGAGCGAGCAGGAUUAAAUCCCCUGGUAGACCCCGCCGUAAACGAUGAUGACUAGGUGUUGGGGAAACUCAGUGCCGCAGUUAACACAUUAAGUCAUCCGCCUGGGGAGUACGAUCGCAAGGUUGAAACUCAAAGGAAUUGACGGGG